This 360-nucleotide long non-coding RNA is filed under the name Homo sapiens (human). Its description in RNAcentral is "non-protein coding lnc-SLC15A4-13:1". Lineage: Eukaryota; Metazoa; Chordata; Mammalia; Primates; Hominidae. The record is from RNAcentral.
CCAAGACCUAGCUCCACUGUGAUGAAGCCUGUAAAGAAAGACAUACAUGAACACACAAAUAAGGCAAUGCAUUUUCUUACGCAGCUGAAAGGUACAAGAGAGGACCAGGUUAUCAAAAAUGUCUUCAGGGUGUACCCAAAGCAACCAAUGGAACAAAGAAUUGGACAAAACGCACAAACAAAGCAAGAAGGAAUGAAGGGUUUUAUUGAAAAUGAAAGUACACUCCACAGUGUGGGAGUGGGCCUGAGCAGAGGGGCUCAAAGGCCCCAUUGUAGAAUUUUGGGGAGUUUAAAUAUCCCCAAGAACCUGAACAACCUCUGCCGUUAACAUAUUUUGGUGACCCGGGAAGGAGGAAGAGGU